Long non-coding RNA from Heterocephalus glaber (naked mole-rat), 1915 nucleotides. Lineage: Eukaryota; Metazoa; Chordata; Mammalia; Rodentia; Bathyergidae. The record is from Ensembl.
AGGCAAAUUAAAAUACUGUAUAAUAAUAACAUAAAAUGCGAUGACACUGCCAUAGUAUGGAUAUUAAAUGUCCCCCAUAAGGCUGUGUAUUAAAGACUUAGUCCCCAUUUUGGUACUCUUGGGAAAUGAUAGAAACUUUAAGGAGGUAGGGCUUAGUGGGAAGUCUUAGGUCACUGGGAUCAUGUGCUUGAAGGGGAUAUUAGGAUUCUAGGUCCUUCUCUUCCCCUCUCAGCUUCCCAGCCACAAUGAGAUGAGGAGCUCACUCCAUCAUCCACUCCUGCCACGAUGGACAGUCUUGCCUCAGACACAAAAGCCAUGAUCCAUAGACUGAAACCUCCAAAUGUUUGGCAUGAUUUUUCCCAGCACCAGAGAUCGAACUCAGGACCUUGUGGUUGCCAGGCAGGCGCAGCGCCACUGAGCUACAUCCCCAACCCAAGAUAUUUUUGUUCUUGAGAGAGGCCAGAAAAUCAUGGGAUUUUUCUAGUUUUCCUUCAAGGAUGUGGAGAAAAAUUAGCUCUGAGGGUGGGUUUGAACUAGCAUUGUGCAAAUAAACAAACAUAUUUCAUCCCAUGAUGAAAGUCCUGGUGUUCCAACAUUUGUUAGGACUGAAUAAUAAUAGAAAUACAACAUAAAAGUUUGUGGGAAAUUGGUACUUAUAGGUAAUAAAUAAUUAUAUUGAAAAAAAGAAAGGCUGAAAAUAAAUGAUCUGUGCAUCCACCUUUAAAAAGAACAAUAGACUACCUAAAAAUAGAAUAAAAGCGGAAGAACAGAAAUUAAUGAGGAGUAAUUUAAAAAUCACAACAGAGAUGAUCAGCAAAGCUACAAGGUAAUUUGAAAACUUAGGGAAGUAGGCAAAACCACUAGUGAAAUGCAUCAGCAAAGGAAAAAGACUCAGACAUUAGGAAUGAAAAAUAGGACCAGGCACAGUGUUACACACUGGUAAUCCCAGCUACUCAGGAGGUUGAGGGAGGAGGAACUCAAGUUUAAGGCCAGCUUGGGCAACUUAGCUCGACCCCGCCUCAAAAUAAAAUGUAAAAAAAGGGCUGGGAAAGUAGUUCAGUGGUAGAGCACUUCCCUGGCAUGCCCUAGGCACUGAAUUCAGCCUCUAGUAUAAAAAAGAAAUAAAGAGACAUUUAUAGCUAAAUGGAUGCAUAUUGAGGCCAUCCUCUUGAGUGAAAUAAACAGGACACACAUGUAAAUACUGAAUAGUUUUCUCUAGUGUGAGAAACUGAAAGUGUAACUAAGGAUUAAAAUGAUUAAAAUGAAUAAUUGAUAAUUUGAAAUUGGAAGAAAAGGUCCAAAGGGGUAGCGGUGGCAGGAGGAGAAGGGCAGAGAUCAGUUACAGGCUGGAAUCUGGAAAGAAUCCAUACAUAGAUUGUGUUCAAAACUAUAGGAAGAGAUGUGGAUAGAGACUAGGCUGGAGCUCAUCAGUGGAUUGGGAAGGAAGAGUCACUGAGAUCAAAGGAGAAAAGGGUGUGUUUCCAGAAGAAGCACAUACAACUAUGUACAGUACACAGUACUCCAUAGUGUAAUAAAUGACUGUUAUUAUUUUAUGUACUUAUCAUAACAUGCUGUGCUUUUCAUCUUUUAGAGCAUAAUCCUACUUAUAUAAAAGAGUUUACUGUAAAACAGUGUGCUGCUAUGCCAGUGGUAACCUCAUGUAUAUGGUGUUUAACUGCGUAUUUGGAUAAUAUCAAGGGGCCAUCACAGAUGAUUGAUGUAUACCUUCUCAGUUUGCACUUAGAAGUUGGCACUCUGUGUGGUACUUUGCGAUACACACGGAUGAAAUUGCCUAAUAACAUAUUUCUCAGAUUAUAUUUCCAUCACGUGUCACAUGACUGUAUUGAAAUUUAAAUUUAAAAAAUUUGGCCUAUGUGGAGUCUACUAGCUAAUUAGAAUUUUUUUUCCAGACCAC